GUGAGGAAUUUUGCGCAAUGGCCGCAAGGCUGACGCAGCAACGCCGCGUGGGUGAUGAAGGCCUUCGGGUCGUAAAGCCCUGUCAGGUGGGAAGAAAGGCCUGGAGAGGAAAGGUUUCAGGUUUGACGGUACCACCAGAGGAAGCACCGGCUAACUCCGUGCCAGCAGCCGCGGUAAUACGGAGGGUGCGAGCGUUAUUCGGAAUUACUGGGCGUAAAGCGCGUGUAGGCGGGGAGACAAGUCUGAUGUGAAAGCCCUGGGCUUAACCUGGGAAGUGCAUUGGAAACUGUUUUUCUUGAGUACUGGAGAGGAAGGGGGAAUUCCCGGUGUAGAGGUGAAAUUCGUAGAGAUCGGGAGGAAUACCAGUGGCGUAGGCGCCCUUCUGGACGGUAACUGACGCUGAGACGCGAAAGCGUGGGGAGCAAACAGGAUUAGAUACCCUGGUAGUCC
Molecule: ribosomal RNA, 450 nt
Filed under: uncultured bacterium
Lineage: Bacteria
Description: partial 16S ribosomal RNA
Rfam family: Bacterial small subunit ribosomal RNA
Source: RNAcentral